AACUAAUCAUACAUUAUCUUGUGGCUUUGAGAUUUCAAUGAUGUGAUUGUUGAUUUUCACAAUGGCAUUGUUAUGUAGAUGUGAGAGUCCAGAUCUGGCCAAUUAGAACAUAAAACAGUUAGAAAAUUCUGGGCUGGAUAUGGUCAGUUCAAAUGCUAAAG
This is a long non-coding RNA of Octopus sinensis (East Asian common octopus), 161 nucleotides long. RefSeq lists it as uncharacterized. The transcript has 3 exons. NCBI's taxonomy places the organism in Eukaryota, Metazoa, Mollusca, Cephalopoda, Octopoda, Octopodidae. The record is from RefSeq and is a predicted model, not a curated record.